This 456-nucleotide ribosomal RNA is filed under the name uncultured Clostridia bacterium. RNAcentral describes it as "bacterial SSU rRNA". It matches the Rfam family "Bacterial small subunit ribosomal RNA", at positions 9 to 511 of the family's 1533-position model. Lineage: Bacteria; Bacillati; Bacillota; Clostridia. The record is from RNAcentral.
GAGUUUGAUCUUGGCUCAGAGUGAACGCUGGCGGCGCGCCUAAAACAUGCAAGUCGAGUGGGUUUAGACCCACGGCGAACGGCUGCGUAACACGUGGGUACCUGCCUCGAACUCAGGGAUAUCCCUCCGAAAGGAGGGGUAAUACCGGAUAGUCCCGCAAGGGUAAAGAUUUAUCGGUUCGAGAGGGGCCUACGGCCUAUCAGCUAGUUGGUAAGGUAACGGCUUACCAAGGCUAUGACGGGUAGCUGGUCUGAGAGGACGACCAGCCAGAAUGGAACUGAGACACGGUCCAUACUCCUACGGGAGGCAGCAGUUAGGAAUCUUCCACAAUGGGCGAAAGCCUGAUGGAGCGACGCCGCGUGAAGGAUGAGGCCCUUACCGGGUGUAAACUUCUGUUGUGAGGGACGAAAUUUUUGACGGUACCUCACGAGAAAGCACCGGCUAAUUCUGUGCCAG